This 64-nucleotide transfer RNA is filed under the name Dascillus cervinus (orchid beetle). Its description in RNAcentral is "tRNA-Leu". The record is from RNAcentral. Lineage: Eukaryota; Metazoa; Arthropoda; Insecta; Coleoptera; Dascillidae.
AUUACUUUGGCAGAAUAGUGUAAUAAAUUUAGAAUUUAUGUAUGUGUUUAAAUCACAAGUAGUA